UCCUACGGGGGGCAGCAGUAGGGAAUUUUCGUCAAUGGGCGCAAGCCUGAACGAGCAAUGCCGCGUGAACGAGGAAGGUCUUCGGAUCGUAAAGUUAUGUUGAAGGGGAAAAAGAGCGGAGAGAGGAAAUGGUCUCCGAUUGAUAUUACCCUUCGAGGAAGUCACGGCUAACUACGUGCCAGCAGCCGCGGUAAUACGUAGGUGGCGAGCGUUAUCCGGAAUGAUGGGGCGUAAAGUGUGCGUAGGGGGC
RNAcentral lists this ribosomal RNA (250 nucleotides) under uncultured bacterium. RNAcentral's name for it is "partial 16S ribosomal RNA". It matches the Rfam family "Bacterial small subunit ribosomal RNA", at positions 337 to 579 of the family's 1533-position model. The record is from RNAcentral.